CCCAGUGCCAAUGUCCCGCCACCAUCGUGCUGCCACCAUGCCCAAGAGAAAGGCUGAAGGGGAUGCUAAGGGAGAUAAAGCCAAGGUGAAGGACGAACCACAGAGAAGAUCCGCGAGGUCAUCUGCUAAACCUGCUCCUCCAAAGCCAGAGCCCAAGCCUAAAAAGGUCCCUGCAAAGAAGGGAGAGAAGGUAUCCAAAGAAACAAAGGGAAAAGCUGAUGCACAAGGAGGGGAAUAAUCCUACAGAAAACAGAGAUGCCAAAACAGACCAGGCACAGAAAGCUGAAGGUGCUGGAGAUGCCAAGUGAAGUGUGUGCAUUUUUUAUAACUGUUUACUUCUGGUGACUGUACAGUUUGAAAUACUAUUUUUUUUUCAAGUUUUAUAAAACUGUAGAAUUUUGCUUUAAUUUUCUUAAGCUAUGUUGUUAGCACACAGAACAUGUCAUUGUUGUUUUGGAGGGAAAGGGCGUAUGUCAUUAAUAGAAUGUCUCUAAAGCUGGAUUGAUGUGGGGAAAACACCUUUCCCUUCUAGUUUUGAAAGACUUCCUCUUGGCUCCCAGGAGAAGGGAUUCCCUGACUUUGACACACAUGGCCAUCUUGGCAC
This is an RNA transcript of Cebus imitator (Panamanian white-faced capuchin), 604 nucleotides long. It is a transcript of the gene named non-histone chromosomal protein HMG-17-like, with no coding region annotated. The record is from RefSeq and is a predicted model, not a curated record. Lineage: Eukaryota; Metazoa; Chordata; Mammalia; Primates; Cebidae. The transcript has a single exon.